CAGAAGACUAUUUAUCUGAAGAAAUAUAGAUGGUCAUGGUCCCAAAUAUAUAAUGAAAGAUAAAAUGCCAGAAAAAGACAUGUACAGCAACCACAAUAUUGAAACCAGAUUUCAUGCCAUUGCUAGCAAAGAUAAAAAGCAUAUCUUUACCAGGAUACUAGGAAGGGAUUUCAACUGCACUGCCAACAUUUAGGCUGUGCAUUUUGUCAUUAUAUUUAUGCAGAUUUUGUUCUGUGGUUCCAUCAUCCAACAUUUGCUAUACUAGAGACUACACAGGCACACCAAACUACACACCAUCUUGUCCCGACCUCUCUAGUUCAGUACUUUCCAGUGAGAUGCCCUUUCCUUUCUUGUUCUUAGUAUAGUCACAUUACAAGGUUCUAGCUAAGAAUUCUUACAUGCCAUCUGUCAAAAUUCGCCAAAAAAGUAUUCCAUCCUUUUUGCAAAUGAAGCCAUUGGAUAAGUAUUUCUCUAUGCUCAAAAUAACUCCAACUUUCAGCAACUUAAGAUUACAUUUAAACCAGACUGUUCUUUCAGUGGAUGAAUGAUUUUAAACAUUAUUCCCUAUUAAUUAAAAUUAAAUUAAUUUUACAAUUUGGUCCAGAUUUUCAGCAUACACAAGAGCUUAAUGUUCCACACAAAGCGAGAACUAAGGAUAACUAGACUUUCAUCUCCAAAGCAAGAACUUAAACUAAACUUUUUUAGUAUCAACCCCAUAGACAGGCUUCCAUAAUGUUGGAUAGUGAAACAACAUCACAUUAACAGAAACUAAACAUUAUGCUACUGAAUAGGUACACUCUUUGCCCACCAGCAGCAUUAACAAUGCCAAAAAUUGAAUGUACGUGGAAAUCUGUCAUACGCAAUUACUUAUCUUUCGCAUAAUAUUGUUCUACCCUCUAAGUUACGCAACAACAACAACCAAGCCUUAAUUCCAAACUAG
Molecule: unclassified non-coding RNA, 940 nt
Filed under: Hevea brasiliensis (rubber tree)
Lineage: Eukaryota; Viridiplantae; Streptophyta; Magnoliopsida; Malpighiales; Euphorbiaceae
Source: RNAcentral